RNAcentral lists this ribosomal RNA (586 nucleotides) under uncultured bacterium. RNAcentral describes it as "partial 16S ribosomal RNA". It matches the Rfam family "Bacterial small subunit ribosomal RNA", at positions 355 to 926 of the family's 1533-position model. The record is from RNAcentral.
UGGGGAAUAUUGCACAAUGGGCGCAAGCCUGAUGCAGCCAUGCCGCGUGUGUGAAGAAGGCCUUCGGGUUGUAAAGCACUUUCAGCGAGGAGGAAGGUGGUGAACUUAAUACGUUCAUCAAUUGACGUUACUCGCAAGAAGAAGCACCGGCUAACUCCGUGCCAGCAGCCGCGGUAAUACGGAGGGUGUCAAGCGUUAAUCGGAAGUUACUGGGCAGUAAAGCGCACGCAGGUCGGUUUGUUAAGUCAGAUGCUGAAAUCCCCGGGCUCAACCUGGGAACUGCAUUUGAAACUGGCAAGCUAGAGUCUCGUAGAGGGGGGUAGAAUUCCAGGUGUAGCGGUGAAAUGCGUAGAGAUCUGGAGGAAUACCGGUGGCGAAGGCGGCCCCCUGGACGAAGACUGACGCUCAGGUGCGAAAGCGUGGGGAGCAAACAGGAUUAGAUACCCUGGUAGUCCACGCUGUAAACGAUGUCGAUUUUGGAGGUUGUGCCCUUGAGGCGUGGCUUCCGGAGCUAACGCGUUAAAUCGACCGCCUGGGGAGUACGGCCGCAAGGUUAAAACUUAAAGGAAUUGACGGGGUCUAGCUG